This 98-nucleotide non-coding RNA is filed under the name Clostridiaceae bacterium BL-3. RNAcentral's name for it is "Purine". It matches the Rfam family "Purine riboswitch aptamer". From Rfam's summary of the family: Riboswitches are metabolite binding domains within certain messenger RNAs that serve as precision sensors for their corresponding targets. The record is from RNAcentral. Lineage: Bacteria; Bacillati; Bacillota; Clostridia; Eubacteriales; Clostridiaceae.
UAAAAGUUAACAUAGGUCACUUAUAUAAGCUCAUAAUGAGGUUGAGCGUUUCUACCAGCUACCGUAAAUAGUUGAUUAUAAGUAUAUUUAGAGAUAGG